UCCGUCCUGCGUUUGGUAGCACAUGGACUUUUGGUUUUGCAUAGCUAACCCUAGACAUGGUCAAUCAAGGACUUUAGGGGUUUAGGAUUUGCAUCAAGUCAAUAUCCUUUAACUUUGCCGCCACUUGGGGUCAGGUUUGUAAGAAAAUGGGGUUUUAGUUUCAACAAUUGCGGCAUGGAAGGUGGACGAGUCAGUCCGUCCAAAUGGGUUGGGUUUCCGAUUGCGAGCCUCCAAAAUGUGGUAUGAGGACUGAGAAAUGAACAUGUUUUUUAAUUUUCUGAUUUUAUUGCUGCAACAAACUAAAUAGAAGGGAAACCCCAAAAUCAAGUCUUACAUUUUGGAGGCAUGUUUUCACCAAAUCAGCGCAAUACAAAGAAAGAGAGACCGAAAGGCAGAUCGUACCUGGACUGGAGAUGCAAAGCUGAAGUUCAGAGAGAAGGUUGCAAAGGGGAGAUGCAGAGGAUGAAGAGGAAGGUUGCGAAAGAGGGGAGAUGCAGAGGAGAGGAAUGAGGAAGACAACGGCAGGCAGAGAGAAGAGAUUGUUUUAGGGUUUGUAAUGAUUUAGAUGGUGUAAUUUUUGAAAAAGAUAUGGGGUGCAUUUGUCUUAAAAUGGUAAAAUAUUGUGUUCCACAGGCGUGGAACAACACAUUCCAGGGGGUAGACGCGGGACACAAAAACACCCAAAUUCUGUCCCGUAGAACAGAGCGUUCCACCCUUUUUUGGCGUACCAAACGC
Molecule: long non-coding RNA, 735 nt
Filed under: Malus domestica (apple)
Lineage: Eukaryota; Viridiplantae; Streptophyta; Magnoliopsida; Rosales; Rosaceae
Description: long non-coding RNA (MDOM_LNC002334)
Source: RNAcentral